RNAcentral lists this ribosomal RNA (464 nucleotides) under Vreelandella stevensii. RNAcentral's name for it is "partial 16S ribosomal RNA". It matches the Rfam family "Bacterial small subunit ribosomal RNA", at positions 338 to 795 of the family's 1533-position model. Lineage: Bacteria; Pseudomonadati; Pseudomonadota; Gammaproteobacteria; Oceanospirillales; Halomonadaceae. The record is from RNAcentral.
CCUACGGGCGGCUGCAGUGGGGAAUAUUGGACAAUGGGGGAACCCUGAUCCAGCCAUGCCGCGUGUGUGAAGAAGGCCCUCGGGUUGUAAAGCACUUUCAGUGAGGAAGAACGCCUGGUGGUUAAUACCCAUCAGGAAAGACAUCACUCACAGAAGAAGCACCGGCUAACUCCGUGCCAGCAGCCGCGGUAAUACGGAGGGUGCGAGCGUUAAUCGGAAUUACUGGGCGUAAAGCGCGCGUAGGUGGCUUGAUAAGCCGGUUGUGAAAGCCCCGGGCUCAACCUGGGAAAGGCAUCCGGAACUGUCAAGCUAGAGUGCAGGAGAGGAAGGUAGAAUUCCCGGUGUAGCGGUGAAAUGCGUAGAGAUCGGGAGGAAUACCAGUGGCGAAGGCGGCCUUCUGGACUGACACUGACACUGAGGUGCGAAAGCGUGGGUAGCAAACAGGAUUAGAUACCCUAGUAGUC